This 254-nucleotide ribosomal RNA is filed under the name uncultured bacterium. RNAcentral describes it as "partial 16S ribosomal RNA". It matches the Rfam family "Bacterial small subunit ribosomal RNA", at positions 524 to 776 of the family's 1533-position model. The record is from RNAcentral.
UACGGGGGGAGCAAGCGUUGUUCGGAUUUACUGGGCGUAAAGGGCGCGUAGGCGGUCAGCACAAGUCAGUUGUGAAAUCUCCGGGCUUAACUCGGAAAGGUCAACUGAUACUGUGCGACUAGAGUGCGGAAGGGGCAACUGGAAUUCUCGGUGUAGCGGUGAAAUGCGUAGAUAUCAGGAGGAACACCGGUGGCGAGGGCAGAUCUCUGGGCCGUAACUGACGCUGAGGAGCGAAAGCAUGGGGAGCGAACAGG